RNAcentral lists this long non-coding RNA (235 nucleotides) under Elaeis guineensis (African oil palm). Its description in RNAcentral is "long non-coding RNA (EGUI_LNC041091)". Lineage: Eukaryota; Viridiplantae; Streptophyta; Magnoliopsida; Arecales; Arecaceae. The record is from RNAcentral.
CUUAGAUCUUUGAUGCUCAAAUCUAGAUCACUUAAUUCUCAAUUAAGUUUUGGACCGACGUAGGUUCGGGUUUGAUGUUUGAAAAUAAUUUUUAAUUUUAUAAAUAUUUUUACAAUCAAUUAUCUAAUGAUCAAAAUUUUAAUUUUAGAUCUGAUAUAUAUUAUUUCAGAUUUAAAAUAAAAUUUUAAAUUUUUUUUCAUUAUUCAUCAUCAUGGAAAAGAUCGCGUAGUACCCC